GCCGGGUGCGGUGGCAUGUGCCUGUAGUCCCAGCUACUCGGGAGGCUGAGGUGGGACGAUCGCUUGAGCCCAGGAGUUCUGGGCUGUAGUGCGCUAUGCCGAUCGGGUGUCCACACUAAGUUUGGCAUCAAUAUGGUGACCUCCAGGGAGCGGGGGACCACCAGGUUGCCUAAGGAGGGGUGAACCGGCCUAGGUCAGAAACGGAGCUCAUCAAAACUCCCGUGCUGAUCAGUAGUGGGAUCGCGCCUGUGAAUAGUCACUGCACUCCAGCCUGGGUAACAAAGUGAGACCCCGUCUCU
This 299-nucleotide signal recognition particle RNA is filed under the name Aotus nancymaae (Ma's night monkey). Its description in RNAcentral is "Metazoan signal recognition particle RNA (ENSANAG00000007707.1)". It matches the Rfam family "Metazoan signal recognition particle RNA". Rfam says of the family: The signal recognition particle (SRP) is a universally conserved ribonucleoprotein. It is involved in the co-translational targeting of proteins to membranes. The record is from RNAcentral. Lineage: Eukaryota; Metazoa; Chordata; Mammalia; Primates; Aotidae.